Molecule: ribosomal RNA, 503 nt
Filed under: uncultured bacterium
Lineage: Bacteria
Description: partial 16S ribosomal RNA
Rfam family: Bacterial small subunit ribosomal RNA
Source: RNAcentral
GAUGAACGCUAGCGGCAGGCCUAACACAUGCAAGUCGAGGGGUAGCAGGAUUAAGCUUGCUUAAUUGCUGACGACCGGCGCACGGGUGCGUAACGCGUAUGCAACCUACCUUAUACUGGGGUAUAGCCCGGAGAAAUUCGGAUUAAUCCCCCAUAGUACUAAUGAAUCGCAUGGUUUAUUAGUUAAAGCAUUGCGGUAUAAGAUGGGCAUGCGUCCUAUUAGCGCGAUGGUGAGGUACCGGCCCACCAUGGCUACGAUAGGUAGGGGGCCUGGGAGGGUGGGCCGCGACACUAGUACUGAGACACGGACCAGACUCCUCCGGGAGGCAGCAGUGAGGAAUAUUGGUCAAUGGGCGCAAUCCUGAACCAGCCAGGCCACGUGCAGGAAGAAUGCCCUAUGGGUUGUAAACUGCUUUUAUUUGGGAAUAAACCUCUUUACGUGUAGAGAGCUGAAGGUACCAAAUGAAUAAGCACCGGCUAACUCCGUGCCAGCCGCCGCGGUAA